UAUUAAAAAUUCCAUCUAUUUUUACUGUUAAAAACUGAUGUUGUUGACAUACCACAUAUACCUAAUGUAAACGUACAAGGAUCAGUUUUUAAUAGUGGAAAUGAAUGGAAGUUUUAACA
RNAcentral lists this microRNA precursor (119 nucleotides) under Gossypium raimondii (Peruvian cotton). RNAcentral's name for it is "MIR7502 microRNA precursor family". It matches the Rfam family "MIR7502 microRNA precursor family". The record is from Rfam by way of RNAcentral. Lineage: Eukaryota; Viridiplantae; Streptophyta; Magnoliopsida; Malvales; Malvaceae.